UGUAGUCUUAGCUGCUUUGGAAGGCCACCUGGUUUCCACAGCUAGUCACGGAAUUUUAUAACUGUAAUUACCUCAAGGCGGAAGAGCUGGCAGGAUCCUCAGCGUUGUGGCGAAGGACAGAGUAUACAGCCGGAAACAAGUGUCAGUGUUAACAGUGAGUUGGGGCUCAGUCUUAUUCAGCAACUUAACAAAUAUUUAUUGAGCGCCUACUCCGCGCCAGUCACGCAAAAUCACCCUAGCUACAUUUAAAGUGUGUGUGUGUGAAGUCGUGGUGGUGACCAGACUUAAACUUAAAGGCUCUACCUUUGGAGCUACCGAGAGCCAUCCUACUAUCUCAUAUCGCCUGAGAAUGAUGCUUAUUGGAAUGGCCCAUGGAGUCUGGAGGACUGUGUGCUAGUUAGGGGUAACCUGGCUUUGCAGUGUGGGAGCUUCUGGGAACAUCACCAGAACCUGUGACGCUAAUCAAUCCGAAGAAGCUGAAUUCAGAAAGAUAAAAUAAACCGUUAUCCAGCACUUGGAGCUUUCAUCC
This is a long non-coding RNA of Bubalus bubalis (water buffalo), 529 nucleotides long. RefSeq lists it as uncharacterized. Lineage: Eukaryota; Metazoa; Chordata; Mammalia; Artiodactyla; Bovidae. The record is from RefSeq and is a predicted model, not a curated record. The transcript is spliced from 2 exons.